RNAcentral lists this unclassified non-coding RNA (4056 nucleotides) under Habropoda laboriosa. RNAcentral describes it as "plasma membrane calcium-transporting ATPase 3, transcript variant X1". The record is from RNAcentral. Lineage: Eukaryota; Metazoa; Arthropoda; Insecta; Hymenoptera; Apidae.
CGAGCGAUGUAUCGACUCCUCUAAAUUCCGCGAUAUCGUAAAUUGCAUAUUGCGAAACAGUGCGUGUGUAUUCUCUGCUACUGAACGCGUUUAUGACGUGGAUUCUUUUCUUCACAAAAAUUAAUUACGUUGCUUACGAAAAAGCAAAGCGGAAACGGAGGAAAACAUCGAAAACUCGGCGCAGUACGCGUGCGAGCAGCUAGAGGGCAACACGAAUCGAUUACCACUCCGCUAAUGGCUUAUUUCACUUAACACGCCUUUCCGUGUGGCAAGCUGGUAUGCUGUGUAUCGUGAUUAGCUUUUCACGGCUAGAGAUCGACAGGGAAGAAUGAAGCUCCGCGGCCCGUGACCAGUGAGGGGUGAUCGGUUUGCAUGCCAAUUCGCGAUCUGUUCUUGGCGUCAAGACAUAAACUGUCACCAGAAGCUGUUGGUCCUCCAAUUUCUUGGGGGCCAGUGGUGUCAGUGACACCAGAGAAUAAUACGAGCUGCUAGCGUGAAGAAGUGCAGUGAAGUUGGCUUAGGCCAACGUUGGUGGACGAGGCAAAAUGGCAACAAUAGAUGGCCGACCAGCCCAAUAUGGUGUCACUCUUAAGCAACUUCGUGAACUCAUGCAGGUCCGAGGGCGUGAAGGAGUUGAACAAAUCAAUAGCCAUGGUGGUGUGCAAGAGAUUUGUAAAAAAUUAUAUACUUCACCCAGCGAAGGUCUCAGUGGAUCAGCAGCAGAUAUCCAACAUAGAAGGGAUACAUUUGGUUCCAAUUCAAUACCUCCAAAACCACCAAAAACGUUUCUACAGUUAGUAUGGGAGGCUCUGCAAGAUGUUACGUUAAUAAUCUUGGAAGUAGCAGCAUUGGUUUCAUUAGGUCUUAGCUUUUAUCAACCAGCAGAUGAUGAAGAAAAACCUUUGAUAGACGAGGAUGAAGCGAAAUACGGUUGGAUCGAAGGAGCUGCUAUAUUUAUUUCUGUGAUCUUGGUGGUAAUAGUAACAGCUUCCAAUGACUAUUCUAAGGAAAAACAAUUUAGGGGUCUCCAGAGUCGGAUAGAAGGAGAACAUAAAUUCUCCGUCAUUCGGCAAGGGGAGGUCAAACAGAUCUCUGUAUCUGACAUCGUUGUGGGUGACAUAUGUCAGAUAAAAUAUGGAGACCUGCUGCCAGCAGAUGGUAUCCUUAUACAAAGCAACGAUCUCAAAGUGGAUGAAUCCAGUUUAACAGGAGAGUCAGAUCAUGUUAAAAAAGGAGAAUCGUUUGAUCCCUUUGUACUCUCAGGUACACAUGUGAUGGAGGGUUCUGGGAAAAUGUUAGUUACUGCAGUAGGUGUUAACUCACAGGCUGGUAUUAUCUUUACUUUGUUGGGUGCUGCUGUUGAUCAACAAGAGCAAGAGAUCAAGAAAAUGAAGAAAGAGGCUAAGAAGCAGCGGAAGAAGAAGUCAUUAACAGGAGAUGAAGCUGGAGAAAUAACUGGAAACAGCCAUGUGAGCAGUGGCAAGCACGAGGGUGGGGAGAACCAUCACGCAGCCAGCCAUAGUAGCGGUGCAGAAGGAAAGAAAGAGAAGAGUGUUCUUCAAGCCAAGCUAACUAAACUUGCCAUACAAAUCGGUUACGCCGGCUCGACUAUAGCAGUGCUUACCGUUGUCAUUCUAGUCAUUCAGUUCUGUGUAACGACGUUCGUUAUACAAGGGAAACCUUGGAAGAAUACGUACGCUGGUGAUCUGGUGCGGCAUUUGAUCAUUGGUGUAACAGUACUUGUUGUCGCCGUUCCCGAAGGUCUUCCUCUGGCUGUUACCUUGUCUCUCGCUUAUUCCGUUAAGAAAAUGAUGAAAGACAACAACUUGGUGCGUCACUUGGAUGCCUGUGAGACUAUGGGUAACGCCACGGCAAUAUGUUCCGACAAGACUGGCACUCUAACUACCAACCGGAUGACCGUCGUUCAGUCGUACAUAUGCGAGAAGAUGAGCAAAACAAUCCCACAGUUCUCGGAGAUACCCAGCCACGUUGGAAACUUAUUACUUCAAGCUAUUUCUAUUAAUUCGGCGUACACAUCCAGAACAAUGCCCUCGCAGGACCCUACAGAGUUGCCGCUGCAAGUCGGCAAUAAAACCGAAUGUGCCUUACUUGGAUUCGUAGUAGCCCUGGGCAUGAAUUAUCAGACGAUACGAGACGAUCAACCAGAAGAAACUUUCACGCGGGUGUACACGUUCAAUAGCGUUAGGAAGAGCAUGUCCACUGUCAUACCGAGGAAAGAUGGUGGAUAUAGGCUCUUCACCAAGGGCGCUUCCGAGAUCAUCAUGAAGAAAUGUGCCUUUAUAUACGGUCAUGAAGGUCGUUUGGAGAAAUUUACCAGAGAUAUGCAAGAGCGUCUGGUGGAGAACGUGAUAGAGCCGAUGGCGUGCGACGGUCUCCGUACCAUCUCCAUCGCUUACCGCGACUUCGUUCUGGGUAAGGCGGAGAUCAACCAGGUUCACAUCGACAACGAGCCGACCUGGGACGACGAGGAAAAUAUUGUGAACAAUCUGACCUGUCUGGGUAUCGUCGGUAUCGAGGAUCCUGUGCGUCCUGAGGUGCCGGACGCAAUUAGAAAGUGUCAAAAGGCUGGGAUCACUGUGCGUAUGGUGACUGGAGACAAUAUAAACACAGCGCGUUCCAUAGCUCUGAAAUGUGGCAUCCUGAAGCCAAACGAGGACUUCCUGGUUUUGGAGGGAAAAGAUUUCAACAGAAAGAUCAGGGACAACAACGGAGAAGUACAGCAACAUCUGUUGGACAAAGUGUGGCCGAAAUUAAGGGUGUUAGCCAGAUCGUCACCAACAGACAAAUAUACGUUGGUGAAAGGCAUAAUUGAUAGCAAAGCGACUGUGAGUCGCGAGGUUGUUGCCGUGACUGGUGACGGUACGAACGAUGGCCCGGCCUUGAAGAAGGCCGACGUCGGCUUCGCCAUGGGCAUAGCCGGCACAGACGUCGCAAAAGAAGCCUCCGAUAUCAUAUUAACGGACGAUAAUUUCUCGUCGAUCGUGAAGGCGGUUAUGUGGGGUAGAAACGUCUACGAUAGUAUAGCGAAGUUCUUGCAGUUUCAGCUGACCGUCAAUAUCGUCGCUGUUAUAGUUGCUUUUAUCGGGGCAUGUGCCGUGCAAGAUUCGCCUCUUAAAGCGGUGCAGAUGUUGUGGGUGAACUUAAUCAUGGACACGUUAGCGUCGCUCGCAUUGGCCACCGAAUUGCCUACACAUGAUCUUCUUCUACGUAGACCGUACGGUCGCACGAAACCGCUCAUCUCCAGGACAAUGAUGAAGAACAUUCUCGGUCAAGCUGUCUAUCAGUUGACUGUAAUUUUUAUGCUUCUUUUCGUUGGCGAUAAGAUGCUCGACAUCGAAACAGGCCGAGGAGUCGCACAGGCUGGCGGCGGUCCAACGCAACACUUCACCGUCAUCUUCAACACGUUCGUCAUGAUGACUCUUUUCAACGAAUUUAACGCCAGGAAAAUCCAUGGUCAGCGUAAUGUCUUCCAAGGAAUAUUCACCAACCCCAUCUUUUAUUCUAUCUGGGUCAUGACAUGUCUAUCGCAGGUAGUUAUCAUACAAUACGGUAAAAUGGCGUUCAGCACGAAAGCUCUCACAUUAGAACAGUGGAUGUGGUGCCUGUUCUUCGGAGUCGGUACUCUAUUGUGGGGCCAAGUAAUUACGACUAUUCCUACGCGCAAGAUUCCUAAAAUCCUUUCAUGGGGCCGCGGCCAGCCGGAUGAUAUCGGUGCGAUCAAUCUCGGAGAUGAGAAAUUCGACCCUGACUCGGAUAAAAUGCCGCGCUCAGGACAAAUUCUAUGGAUCCGUGGUCUAACACGACUACAGACACAGACGAGCAAUAGAACUCUGGUGCAGAAUGUAUCUGUGACAGGCAGAUCCCCCUCUCAGGAUUACUAUAUGCCAGCGGAACCCAUUCGGGAGACUGAGGUAUAACGGGGCGGCAGUCUUGCCCGCCGCCACACUUAUCCUGUCGGAGUACAAACAAAUCCGUGUAGUGAACGCAUUUCGGCAGGGCACAGACCCGCGCUACAGGAGCGAGCACAGCAGCAAC